Non-coding RNA from Mycena leptocephala, 90 nucleotides. Lineage: Eukaryota; Fungi; Basidiomycota; Agaricomycetes; Agaricales; Mycenaceae. The record is from the annotation of a GenBank genome assembly.
GCUGCUGUGGCUCAGCGUAGAGCAUCCUAUUCUGUUCAUUCCCCUGCAGAAGACUGUGAGGAAGGCGUGGGUUCGAAUCAACCAGCAGCG